CACAGGGGCUGCUGUUCCUGCUUGUCCACGUGGAGCUUCUCCAAUGACCCUGGAAAGAGCAGCAUUGAGGAAAUGUCCUAGCACACUUUCAGGGGAAGCAGAACGUGGUACCACAGAAAAAUUCCCAAAUCUACCCAUGUGGGAGAUGUGUCUGUAAGGAACAGGGUCCUGGGUAGCAAAUAACUUGUGGCCACACAUGGAAGCAGCUUGCCAGGAACAGCUGCAUAUCCAAAUGAGGAUGCCAGCAACAUUUUCCUGGUUAUGGAAACAGUGAUCUGACAAAAGAUCCCUGGGUUACUGGGCUUUAGAUAUUGAUAUCAAAACAUCUUUGCCAACCAAGUAUUGUCACAUCCAUGAGAAGCAGAUCUGAGUUUAACAGUUUGUUCAGGUCCUCUAGCAGAAUAUUCUGCGAAAACACUCAACUUGUUUCAUGCUUUUGUGUGUUCAAGGGGAAUUUUGGAGAACACUGCCAUAUAAACAAGUAUGUUAACAACAAAUAUUUCAGUAGCAAUAGGGGCCCACGGGAAUAAGAUCAAAGAUUACUUUUUGAUGUCAUGAAAUAGAAGCUAGAUAUAGGUUUAUAUAUGGGUUUAUGGUUCAUCUCAUUAAUAGAAAAACAUGGCAGAAACUGAACAUGAAAAGCUGUUGUCUGGUCUGACUGCUUUGAAAUGGAACAUACCAAGACCUCUCAGUGAGCUGUAUCGUAAAGUAAUAGGGGCUAUUGAGCUUUUUUCAUGUGUGUGAAGUUAAAAGUAGUAUUGCUUUUCAUUUUGCUUUUCUCUGUGAGUCCUACAGCAUGCACUUGCAUUGAUACAUUCACAA
Molecule: long non-coding RNA, 822 nt
Organism: Parus major (Great Tit)
Lineage: Eukaryota; Metazoa; Chordata; Aves; Passeriformes; Paridae
Exons: 3
Source: RefSeq, a predicted model, not a curated record